GCAGCAGUGUAGCAUAGUGGUUAAGGAGAAGGACUUGUAACCAAAAGGUUGUUGGUUCGAUUCCCCUCUGGUGCA
Molecule: non-coding RNA, 75 nt
Organism: Megalops atlanticus (tarpon)
Lineage: Eukaryota; Metazoa; Chordata; Actinopteri; Elopiformes; Megalopidae
Source: the annotation of a GenBank genome assembly